This 253-nucleotide ribosomal RNA is filed under the name uncultured bacterium. RNAcentral's name for it is "partial 16S ribosomal RNA". It matches the Rfam family "Bacterial small subunit ribosomal RNA", at positions 524 to 776 of the family's 1533-position model. The record is from RNAcentral.
UACGUAGGGUGCGAGCGUUAAUCGGAAUUACUGGGCGUAAAGCGUGCGCAGGCGGUUCUCCAAGUCCGUUGUGAAAGCCCCGGGCUCAACCUGGGAAUGGCAGUGGAAUCUAGGGGACUGGAAUCUGGCAGAGGGGGGUGGAAUGCCGCGUGUAGCAGUGAAAUGCGUAGAGAUGCGGCGGAACACCGAUGGCGAAGGCAGCCCCCUGGGCUGAGAUUGACGCUCAGGCACGAAAGCGUGGGGAGCAAACAGG